Polyodon spathula (Mississippi paddlefish) is the source of this 1515-nucleotide long non-coding RNA. RefSeq lists it as uncharacterized. The record is from RefSeq and is a predicted model, not a curated record. Lineage: Eukaryota; Metazoa; Chordata; Actinopteri; Acipenseriformes; Polyodontidae. The transcript is spliced from 2 exons.
GGAGCAAGACGUAAACGUUUCAACGGUUUACGUGAAUUACGUGUCACUAUGGAUACGGGGCUCUGCGUGGAGUUCUUCUGUGUAAAGUGUUUUUAUAUGUAGAAAGUAUUCAGAGUGAAGCAAUGGAAGAUAUUCAGAACAGGGAGAAGGAGGGGGAGCCUCACUGGGUGGCUCAGCUGUAGAGAACAGCCUUGCCCCUGGGACGCGACCCCCUCUCCUGCUGUCUGAGAAGCAGGCUGUCCAGAGAACGGAGCGUGUGCAGGAGAUCUGUCGGGGGGCACUGAGAGGGCUGCAGGAGGGGGAGAGACAGGACAGGAAGGACCGCCUAGCGUAGAGGAUGGUUUGGGAACCUCAGAGAGGAACCAAUGUGGAGGUGUCCUCCAAUAUCACCACUGCUAGCACUACCUGUCCUGCCUUACAGAACAGCACGGAGCAUGCCUCAAAAGAGGAGCACACCAGAGGAGUGACAGAGCCAUGCAUCUGGAGUGCGCAGGAGCUGUCCGCCAGGAAGAUUCAGAGCGCCGACGGCUGGAAACCCGCCAGGCUGAGGCGCUGGAAGAGAUUGAAAUGCAGUGUGGCGAGCAAGGGUCGCUGGAGCAGGCUCUGGGGUCCAGGGAGAGGGAUCUGGCCAGCUCCAGGCAGCAGAACGAAAGCAGGGCCCUUCAUCUACAGACGAUACAGGGGGAAGCUGGCAGGAGAGACGCCAGACUGGAGGCCCAGAUGCGGGUGAGGGCAACCGACUACUGAGACCUGGCCCAGGAGCUUCAGAAAGCCAGGUCGGAAAUCCAGGAGCUCACCCUGCACAACAGGGAGCUGGCCACAGAGCUGUGGAGGUUGAGACAGGAGUAGGAGGCAGAGAGACUGAGGUAGGAGGAGCUGGCACAGGUGCAGUGCGAGGUGGCUGUCAGAGGGACUUGGAGGCUGCCCGAAGCGAGCUUGCUGUGGAGAAACAGAGGCACGGCCGGAGCCCGAGUGCCUUGGGAGUUGCUCAGGAGGCACUUUGCUAGCUUACCUGCCCAGGAGAUGCAGGACACCUUCACUGCUAAGUUUGCGCAGAACUGAUCCGGAAAUAAAUAUUUACUGUAAAGGGGAUAACAACAAACUAGACAAUCAUAAGCACCAUCGCUUUGCACAUGUGGUGGAAUCUACACUGUCAAGUGACUGAACUUUCUUGCAAGUCUUCAUCACGUUGAUGAUACUCACAGGACCGAGAAAUCAUAGCCCGCUCUAUAUACACAGGCACACGCUGAAUGUAAUGGGAUAUUAUAGUGUAGAAGCAAAGGGGAUUAUCUGGAAAAUAUCAAAUUAGGUAAAACCAUGUGCCUGUUUUGUUUGUUUCUCUGAACCUGACACUCUUCUGUAAAGGCUGCAAAAUGGCAGAGUCUUCACAUAUGAUUAGUUGGGGCUUUUGGAUUAAGGGCUUUCUGAAAUUAUAACAGGUUUUCACAAUGGAUUUUCCAAGCGCUGCUGUCUUGCUACAUUGUUUCAGUCUUUAAUAAAAUUGAUAUUUUUAUU